UUUGACCUCAAAUCAGGUAGGACUACCCGCUGAACUUAAGCAUAUCAAUAAGCGGAGGAAAAGAAACUAACAAGGAUUCCCCUAGUAACUGCGAGUGAAGAGGGAAAAGCUCAAAUUUAAAAUCUGGCAGUCUCUGGCUGUCCGAGUUGUAAUUUAGAGAAGUGUUACCCGUGCUGGACCGUGUAUAAGUCUCCUGGAAUGGAGCGUCAUAGAGGGUGAGAAUCCCGUCUUUGACGCGGACUCCCAGUGCAUUGUGGUACGCUCUCGAAGAGUCGAGUUGUUUGGGAAUGCAGCUCUAAAUGGGUGGUAAAUUCCAUCUAAAGCUAAAUAUUGGCGAGAGACCGAUAGCGAACAAGUACCGUGAGGGAAAGAUGAAAAGAACUUUGGAAAGAGAGUUAAACAGUACGUGAAAUUGCUGAAAGGGAAACGCUUGAAGUCAGUCGCGUUAUCCAGGGAUCAACCUUGCUUUAGUGAGGCGUACUUCCUGGAUGACGGGUCAGCAUCAGUUUUGACCGUCGGAAAAAGGCUUAGGGAAUGUGGCAUCUCCGGAUGUGUUAUAGCCCUUUGUCGUAUACGGCGGUUGGGACUGAGGAACUCAGCACGCCGCAAGGCCGGGUUUUUAACCACGUUCGUGCUUAGGAUGUUGGCAUAAUGGCUUUAAGCGACCCGUCUUGAAACACGGACCAAGGAGUCUAACAUGCUUGCGAGUGUUUGGGUGGAA
Molecule: ribosomal RNA, 721 nt
Filed under: Moniliophthora perniciosa
Lineage: Eukaryota; Fungi; Basidiomycota; Agaricomycetes; Agaricales; Marasmiaceae
Description: LSU rRNA
Rfam family: Eukaryotic large subunit ribosomal RNA
Source: RNAcentral